RNAcentral lists this long non-coding RNA (1519 nucleotides) under Malus domestica (apple). Its description in RNAcentral is "long non-coding RNA (MDOM_LNC003326)". The record is from RNAcentral. Lineage: Eukaryota; Viridiplantae; Streptophyta; Magnoliopsida; Rosales; Rosaceae.
UUGGCGCCACAAAGGGUAGAGUAGCCACCACCAAAGGCGAAGAAGGCGCCAUAAAGGACGGGAGAAGAGCCGCCCUUUGGGGCGGCUGGAAAGACCAUGAUCAAAAAGAUUUUAUUCUAGUUUUAGGUAAAAUACAACUUUGAAUAUUAUGUUGUCGAGUUGUCAAUUUAAGCAGUAAAUCAAAUAGAUUUCGUUUUAGAGGUAUAUUUCGUAGGUUGUCAACGUGAGUUAUCGACGACUUGUUUUUUAUUUGAAUAUGUUACCUAGGGUGUUAGUCCAAACCAUUAAUGAGGUGUUAAAGUUGUAUUGAUGCACUAUGAUAAAAAGGGCAAAUUUACCGUUAAAAGUGCCUAUUAUGUGGCUCAGUAGUGGAUCCUUCCUCCCUCUUUAUCUUCAUCUUCUUCAUCCUCUUGCAACCAAUUUUCUACUUUGUGGGAUACAUUAUAGUAGGCCAUUGUUCCUCCCAAAGUUAAGAUGACGGUGUCGACGUAAAUUUCCGCUGUCUUCAGUCUUAACGAAAAUGCACCUGCAAAACAACCAUAACCUUUGAUCAAGGACCUAAGCCUCAUGCACCCACGAGGUGGGGGGGGGGUUAGGCCAAUAGAUCUCCAAUGCCUAAGUCAGUUUCUCUGAGAGAGAGUAAAGUGUUUAGGGCUUUUUUAGUGUAGCCAAAGCUCCUGAAAUUUGGUAGAAUAUGUUGUAUAUAUAGGGAGAGGACCGACCAUAGUGUUAGGGUUUUACCCUACACAUGGCGGCAUCCUAUUGGCCAAGGAUUAUGGAGAAAUAUUCUCAAGAUAUUAAAUAGGAAAUAAUAUCUAGAGAUAAUGGAGUAAUUAUCCUUAAUUGAUUUAAAUAUGGAUUACUUGAUUGAAGUCAAUCUUCAAUUGGGAAUGAUUUGGGUAAUUAAUCCUUAUCUUUCAUGAUUUGACUUUUCCCUGCCAAGGGCAGGUGAGCUGUAGGCAGUCGUAUUCAGCUGCUGGGACCUUUAGGGAUGUGAGCUGCACGUGGGAGUACUUGAGGAACCUGCCUAUUUAUUGAGGGCAAUCUUGUCUUUCUUGAGCAAAAGUCCACUUGUCGCCUCUAGAAUUUUUGGGAUUAUUUUUGGCUCCACAAAUACCCUCACACCUGCUGAGCUGCACAUAGGAAAAAGGGCAGUAGCUGUAGAAAUCCUAAGUCGCAUGGGCUUGUAGAGUUGUUUCUCAAUUUGAACUUGAUCUCCUUUCUUGAUUUCGAGAUAGACUUCUUUUACGAAAAAGAAACCAAUUGCCCCCAAUAACUAUUUAAUUUUGCCUUAAGCAGGGGAUUAAAUAAAUUUAGAGAGCAAUCAUCAUUCCAACAAAGAAGAGAAGCCAGAAGAAAUUUUUCUUCCCCCUUCCCUAGCUUUCUUAUUCUCUUGCUCUUGUAAAGAGUCGUCUCUCAUUGUUGUUCUUCUUCUCCGUGCCACACCAAACGUAAGAAAAUUUGAAUUUUCCUUUUCUUGAGUUUUUUGGGAAUCUUGGGACUUGAAAAAUUGGCUCGG